UACGGGGGAUGCGAGCGUUAUCCGGAUUUAUUGGGUUUAAAGGGUGCGUAGGCGGGAUGCCAAGUCAGCGGUAAAAAUGCGGUGCUCAACGCCGUCGAGCCGUUGAAACUGGCGUUCUUGAGUGGGCGAGAAGUAUGCGGAAUGCGUGGUGUAGCGGUGAAAUGCAUAGAUAUCACGCAGAACUCCGAUUGCGAAGGCAGUAUACCGGCGCCCUACUGACGCUGAGGCACGAAAGCGUGGGUAUCGAACAGG
RNAcentral lists this ribosomal RNA (252 nucleotides) under uncultured bacterium. RNAcentral's name for it is "partial 16S ribosomal RNA". It matches the Rfam family "Bacterial small subunit ribosomal RNA", at positions 524 to 776 of the family's 1533-position model. The record is from RNAcentral.